GACGAACGCUGGCGGCGUGCUUAACACAUGCAAGUCGAGCGGAAAGGCCCUUCGGGGUACUCGAGCGGCGAACGGGUGAGUAACACGUGAGUAAUCUGCCCUUGGCUUUGGGAUAACUACCGGAAACGGUGGCUAAUACCGGAUACGACAACCGUCUGCAUGGGCUGGUUGUGGAAAGUUUUUUCGGCCAGGGAUGUGCUCGCGGCCUAUCAGCUUGUUGGUGGGGUAAUGGCCUACCAAGGCUUCGACGGGUAGCCGGCCUGAGAGGGUGACCGGCCACACUGGGACUGAGACACGGCCCAGACUCCUACGGGAGGCAGCAGUGGGGAAUAUUGGACAAUGGGCGGAAGCCUGAUCCAGCAACGCCGCGUGAGGGAUGACGGCCUUCGGGUUGUAAACCUCUUUCAGUACCGACGAAGCGCCGAUGAUGGUGGUGACGGUAGGUACAGAAGAAGCACCGGCCAACUACGUG
Molecule: ribosomal RNA, 472 nt
Filed under: uncultured bacterium
Lineage: Bacteria
Description: partial 16S ribosomal RNA
Rfam family: Bacterial small subunit ribosomal RNA
Source: RNAcentral